GAUGAACGCUGGCGGCGUGCCUAAUACAUGCCAGUCGAGCGAACAGAUGAGGAGCUUGCUCCUCUGACGUUAGCGGCGGACGGGUGAGUAACACGUGGAUAACCUACCUAUAAGACUGGGAUAACUUCGGGAAACCGGAGCUAAUACCGGAUAAUAUAUUGAACCGCAUGGUUCAAUAGUGAAAGACGGUUUUGCUGUCACUUAUAGAUGGAUCCGCGCCGCAUUAGCUAGUUGGUAAGGUAACGGCUUACCAAGGCAACGAUGCGUAGCCGACCUGAGAGGGGGAUUGGCCACACUGGAACCGAGGCACGGGCCAGACUCCUUCGGGAGGGCACAGGAGGGAAACUUUCGCAAUUGGGGGAAGCUUGACGGAGCAACGCCGCGGGAGUGAAGAAGGUCUUCGGAUCGUAAAACCCUGUUAUUAGGGAAGAACAAAUGUUGAAGUAACUUAGCACGUCUUGACGGUACCUAAACAAGAAGCCACGGCUAACUACGUG
RNAcentral lists this ribosomal RNA (497 nucleotides) under uncultured bacterium. RNAcentral describes it as "partial 16S ribosomal RNA". It matches the Rfam family "Bacterial small subunit ribosomal RNA", at positions 28 to 507 of the family's 1533-position model. The record is from RNAcentral.